GACGAACGCUGGCGGCGUGCCUAAUACAUGCAAGUAGAACGCUGAAGGAGGAGCUUGCUUCUCUGGAUGAGUUGCGAACGGGUGAGUAACGCGUAGGUAACCUGCCUGGUAGCGGGGGAUAACUAUUGGAAACGAUAGCUAAUACCGCAUAAGAGUAGAUGUUGCAUGACAUUUGCUUAAAAGGUGCAAUUGCAUCACUACCAGAUGGACCUGCGUUGUAUUAGCUAGUUGGUGGGGUAACGGCUCACCAAGGCGACGAUACAUAGCCGACCUGAGAGGGUGAUCGGCCACACUGGGACUGAGACACGGCCCAGACUCCUACGGGAGGCAGCAGUAGGGAAUCUUCGGCAAUGGACGGAAGUCUGACCGAGCAACGCCGCGUGAGUGAAGAAGGUUUUCGGAUCGUAAAGCUCUGUUGUAAGAGAAGAACGAGUGUGAGAGUGGAAAGUUCACACUGCGACGGUAUCUUACCAGAAAGGGACGGCUAACUACGUGCCAGCAGCCGCGGUAAUACGUAGGUCCCGAGCGUUGUCCGGAUUUAUUGGGCGUAAAGCGAGCGCAGGCGGUUAGAUAAGUCUGAAGUUAAAGGCUGUGGCUUAACCAUAGUACGCUUUGGAAACUGUUUAACUUGAGUGCAAGAGGGGAGAGUGGAAUUCCAUAUGUAGCGGUGAAAUGCGUAGAUAUAUGGAGGAACACCGGUGGCGAAAGCGGCUCUCUGGCUUGUAACUGACGCUGAGGCUCGAAAGCGUGGGGAGCAAACAGG
RNAcentral lists this ribosomal RNA (763 nucleotides) under uncultured Streptococcus sp. RNAcentral describes it as "bacterial SSU rRNA". It matches the Rfam family "Bacterial small subunit ribosomal RNA", at positions 28 to 776 of the family's 1533-position model. The record is from RNAcentral. Lineage: Bacteria; Bacillati; Bacillota; Bacilli; Lactobacillales; Streptococcaceae.